CCUACGGGGGGCAGCAGUGAGGAAUAUUGGUCAAUGGCCGGAAGGCUGAACCAGCCAAGCCGCGUGAGGGAGGAAGGCGCAGAGCGUCGCAGACCUCUUUUGCCGGGGGACAAAAGGCCGAACUCGUCCGGUCCUGAGGGUACCCGGAGAAAAAGCAUCGGCGAACUCCGUGCAAGCAGCCGCGGUAAUACGGGGGAUGCGAGCGUUAUCCGAAUUCAUUGGGUUUAAAGGGUGCGCGGGGGGGCCUUUAAGCCGGCGGGGAAAUCGCGGGGCCCAACCCCGGCGAGCCGUCGGAACUGGGGGCCUUGAGUGCGGCGGAGGCAUGCGGAAUGCGCGGUGUAGCAGUGAAAUGCAUAGAUAUCGCGCAGAACCCUGAUUGCGAAGGCAGGGUGCCGUGCCGCCACUGACGCUGAGGCACGAAAGCGCGGGGAUCGAACAGGAUUAGAUACCCUGGUAGUC
Molecule: ribosomal RNA, 459 nt
Filed under: uncultured bacterium
Lineage: Bacteria
Description: partial 16S ribosomal RNA
Rfam family: Bacterial small subunit ribosomal RNA
Source: RNAcentral